This 1042-nucleotide long non-coding RNA is filed under the name Capsella rubella. RNAcentral describes it as "long non-coding RNA (CRUB_LNC003766)". The record is from RNAcentral. Lineage: Eukaryota; Viridiplantae; Streptophyta; Magnoliopsida; Brassicales; Brassicaceae.
CAGAAUUUAAUGUCUAUGGUUGACUACAUGUCGUUAUAAAGUUGAUGCAUGUGGUCAUGCAAUACAUCUAAUUCGUGUAGCUGAAUGUACAAUAGGAUAUUUGGCAUGUGUGACCAUGCAUUCUUCUAUAGCCAUCUUUUUUCCAAAUAAAAACCCAAUUGGCAGUACACAUUAUGGAAAUAGAAGUCCAAAUCCUCCAACAUUUACAACUUUAUUAAAAACAAAGCCCACUUAUCCUACCUAAUUUAAGAUAAGGACAAGAGAUUAAAGUGCCACAUGAGUAUACGUGUCCACACGUGAUAAGGAGGAGAGAUAACACGAACAACACCGACCAAAUCCACAAUCAAGCGCAGCUCCGCCGCCGGACUUCAGAUCCACCACCACACAGAUAACACGAACAACACCGACCAAAUCCACAAUCAAGCGCAGCUCCGCCGCCGGACUUCAGAUCCACCACCACACUUCUUCUACAACUUCAACCGUUGCUACUCUGAGAGAAAGUCAAUGAUUCCGUCUUGAAUAUCUUUAAGAAGAUUUUGCAAAUCUUCUAUAUCUCAAACAGAUUUUAUAGAAGUAAGGUUCGCCUCGGACCUAAAUCAUAGGCCUUUCGUGUCUUUUAUUCAUGACAAUCGGUGGAUAUAUUAAUCCUACUUACAAGAAGAGUUGAGCUAAUGGAUAAACAAAGAAAAUAUGUCAAAUAGCCCCGAGAUUGAAAUUUAAACAUGUAGAAGAAGAGAGAAACAUAUCUGAACAAGUCGGAAACUUAUUAUCCGAACAAAUACAAAAGAUAAUCAACAUUAAGUCCUUGAAACCCAAGCCAAAAAUCUUAGAUUUGAUUCGGAAAGACAAAAAAACAAAACACUAUAAUACAAUCUGAUCAAAAUCGGAAGAGAAGCUCUCUCUGUCUAAAAGAUACGAGAGAGUUAAGCGAGAGAGAGCUUUCCCCUAGUAUAAAUUUGGCGUUUAUAUACAUGACGCAAAUUGGUACCAUUAUUUCUUCUAACAAGUGAGAUAAUUUUUGUAAUAGUAUAACAUUUUAAAA